RNAcentral lists this ribosomal RNA (612 nucleotides) under Trigonopterus cooktownensis. RNAcentral describes it as "SSU rRNA". It matches the Rfam family "Eukaryotic small subunit ribosomal RNA", at positions 23 to 611 of the family's 1831-position model. The record is from RNAcentral. Lineage: Eukaryota; Metazoa; Arthropoda; Insecta; Coleoptera; Curculionidae. RNAcentral also lists the same sequence under 4 other names.
GUCAUAUGCUUGUCUCAAAGAUUAAGCCAUGCAUGUCUCAGUACAAGCCAAAUUAAGGUGAAACCGCGAAAGGCUCAUUAAAUCAGUUAUGGUUCCUUAGAUCGUACCCACAAUUACUUGGAUAACUGUGGUAAUUCUAGAGCUAAUACAUGCAAACAGAGCUCCGACCGGAGACGGAAGGAGUGCUUUUAUUAGAUCAAAACCAAUCGGUGGCGGGUUCGCGCUCGUUAUCGUACAACUUGGUGACUCUGAAUAACUUUACGCUGAUCGCACGGUCAUCGCACCGGCGACGCAUCUUUCAAAUGUCUGCCUUAUCAACUGUCGAUGGUAGGUUCUGCGCCUACCAUGGUUGUAACGGGUAACGGGGAAUCAGGGUUCGAUUCCGGAGAGGGAGCCUGAGAAACGGCUACCACAUCCAAGGAAGGCAGCAGGCGCGCAAAUUACCCACUCCCGGCACGGGGAGGUAGUGACGAAAAAUAACGAUACGGGACUCAUCCGAGGCCCCGUAAUCGGAAUGAGUACACUCUAAACCCUUUAACGAGGAUCAAUUGGAGGGCAAGUCUGGUGCCAGCAGCCGCGGUAAUUCCAGCUCCAAUAGCGUAUAUUAAAGUU